GGAUGUGAGGCCUAUCUAGCUGCGACAUCUGUCACUCCAUUGAUCCUCAGGGUUGAUUCAGCUGAUCUGGCUGGUUAGGCGGGUGUCCCCUUCCUCCCUCAUCGCUCCAUGUGCGUCCGUCCCAAAGCUGCUUGCUCGGUCAAAGAGGACGACCUUCUCCGAAUAGAGACAGACCAGUGGUCUUCGGUCGAGGGUAUAGGAGUAGCUGUGCUCCCCUGCUAGAACCUCCAGACAAGCUCUCGAGAACCAAGGUCAUUAUGCUCAGUGAAAUAAACAAAGAAGUGAAAUAUAACUAACUAUCAAAUAAUUUCACUCAUUUCUGGAAUCUAAAU
Molecule: non-coding RNA, 332 nt
Organism: Erinaceus europaeus (western European hedgehog)
Lineage: Eukaryota; Metazoa; Chordata; Mammalia; Eulipotyphla; Erinaceidae
Source: Rfam